Molecule: unclassified non-coding RNA, 853 nt
Filed under: Hevea brasiliensis (rubber tree)
Lineage: Eukaryota; Viridiplantae; Streptophyta; Magnoliopsida; Malpighiales; Euphorbiaceae
Source: RNAcentral
CUCGGCCUCACCCAACUUGGCUAGCACGGCCCAUAAUCGGAGCCCAUGGGCCGAGAAUGUUUGGUAUUUUCAUGAGUAAUUUCUCUACUUCUCAUUUUUCAUCUUUCCAACGUAAUCAAAUUCGCAACGUAUAAUGUUGAGUAUAAUGUUGAGUUGAUGAUUUUCUUAUAAACAUCGAUCACAGUUGCACAAUUUCAAUUUACUUGGAAUUAGUUUUAAGUAUAGUAAUGUCAAUUUAACAGUCAUCCAUCUCCAAAGAAAAAGCAGGCAAAUUCCAUACAAUUACAUAUUUCAUAACAGGAUUGCAGAAGCAACCACCACAGCAGAGCAAAGAGUUCCUAAUGAGAACUUCUCCUAACAUCACGGAGAACAACUUGUGCAGCAUUACGACCUGGUGCACCCAUCACUCCACCUCCUGGAUGCGAUCCACUCCCACACAUGUAUAGUCCUCUCACUGGUGUCCUAUAACCUGACCUGCAAUUCAACCCAAAACUUUCUUUACAUUCACAUAGCAUAGUUCAAAGCCUCAAACUCGUUUUUUCCACUUUUCAUUUUAUAAAUCAUAUUAAUCAUAGAUUGUGGAGAAUUACCAUCCUUUGACAGGCCGCAUCAAGAAAAGUGAAUCCAAACCCAUGGCACCGUGAAAAAUAUUUCCUCCUGUGACAUAUACUCAGACAUUGUAACUUCGCCAUUUAAAGAGAGAAUCUGUUAUUUCAUGUCUCAAAAAUCUCAUGUUAUGGAAGAUUUAAUGCUUAAUAUUAAUUUGAUCAAGAAUAUAUCAAGAAUAAUUUGGUUGAAUUUUUCCAAGGAAAAGUUUGAAAACAUACCAUGUAGUUUAACACCUUUCCAUUUG